Molecule: unclassified non-coding RNA, 220 nt
Filed under: plant metagenome
Description: partial contains small subunit ribosomal RNA, internal transcribed spacer 1, and 5.8S ribosomal RNA
Source: RNAcentral
UUUCCGUAGGUGAACCUGCGGAAGGAUCAUUACAGAGUUCAUGCCCUCACGGGUAGAUCUCCCACCCUUGAAUAUUUAUACCUUAGUUGCUUUGGCAGGCCGUGGAAACACCAUGGGCUCCGGCUUAUGCGUGCCUGCCAGAGGAAACAAACUCUGUUUUUAGUGAUGUCUGAGUACUAUAUAAUAAUUAAAACUUUCAACAACGGAUCUCUUGGUUCUG